CGUGUAGGCGGUCUUAUCGGUCAGAUGUGAAAGCCCAGGGCUCAACCCUGGACGUGCAUUUGAAACAGUAAGACUUGAGUACUGGAGAGGAAAGCGGAAUUCCUGGUGUAGAGGUGAAAUUCGUAGAUAUCAGGAGGAACACCGAUGGCGAAGGCAGCUUUCUGGACAGAAACUGACGCUGAUGCGCGAAAGCGUGGGGAGCGAACAGGAUUAAUACCCUGGUAGUCC
RNAcentral lists this ribosomal RNA (228 nucleotides) under uncultured bacterium. RNAcentral describes it as "partial 16S ribosomal RNA". It matches the Rfam family "Bacterial small subunit ribosomal RNA", at positions 568 to 796 of the family's 1533-position model. The record is from RNAcentral.